Long non-coding RNA from Gasterosteus aculeatus aculeatus (three-spined stickleback), 2201 nucleotides. The record is from Ensembl. Lineage: Eukaryota; Metazoa; Chordata; Actinopteri; Perciformes; Gasterosteidae.
UUCGACGUUAAAUAGAUUAAUUUAAACCUCGAAUAAAAAAAAUCAUAAAUCCCACUAACGAAUCAAAUGAAUUCCAUGGCAUUUGAAUGUAACAACGAGCAUUUCCCGGAACCUUUAAAGGUACAGAUCCUUUGAUACGGUGUCAAGUCGUCCCCGAAUCGCGCUGCUCCUCCUGCGCCAACAGCACGCACUUAUAAUGGAACAGAAAAUUCGCACCCCUCCUUUAAGUAGUGCCCGCCCCGUUUGACGUAGCUGGUGGAGUGAGGGGGAAAAAAAGGCAAUGCUGUAAUUUACCUACGACUUGCAUGCGUCGCUCGAUGGUAGUGUGACUGACACAUUUGCCGACGAAUCAGUGGUGAGAGGAGGGACAUCGCAGCAAGGGCCGCCCAGGGAGAGAGCCCCUGCACUGUCGCCAGGGAAACCCCGUGGCGUGGUUGUGUGUCAGUUUCGCUGGGACCCGCGGUCGAUGCCGGUGAGGAGGGGGAUGGGCGCCUCGGCGAAUGCAAGGACCCGAGACAGAAUCAGAGCCCUGUAUCACAUACAGCAGCAUAUACCCCAUUAUAAAUAGCGAUAGUAUAUACAAUACACAAAAAUACAUGGAUCUAUCCACCGGGGAUCUAUAAAAGACAGUCAAUGGAUGCAGUGCACCUGAACAGGACAUGGAAUUUAACUUUUCCUCUACGUUUGGGAGACACUGAGAAGUUGGUUUCCUACCCCUGGAGAGGGAGCUACUUUUGAGGGCAAAGGAUACAGGAAACUCCGAGGCCGACCUACGGGCCUACUGGUCUGUUUGGAUCUGAUGUUGGGAUACUCUAAGGACCCACUGUACAUGCGUUUGCCUUGCUUGUUCAAAUUUGGAAUGCCUCUUUAGGUCCCUCAUGACCGUGAGCCGUGCUAUACGGCUCGGCGGCGCCCCACCUCUGGAGUGGUCCGUCGCUGUUGCUGGGACUUUGUGAUUCCCCUCCUCGCCUCCCCCAUCCCGUCCCAUCCUGUCCCUCCCCUCCCCCUCCCCCUUUCCUCCCCCCUCUUCCCCCGCUCCCACGCGUCGCUGUGCUGGACGUCAUGAGCAUAGUAAUCGCGCUGGGAGUCACCACACCCGAAACGUCUUACUCAGAUAUGGCUGCUGGAUCAGAGUAAGUACUGGCUGCAGGUGUGGUGGCCGUUUGGUUACAACAUGGCCCCUCACAUCACUAGCAUGUUACCCCACAAGUUAACUCAACAUUGCUAAAAUAGAACAAGUGUCCAGGGUUGUAAGCAAACUUCCCGUUGUACCCGCACCACCGGUGUAGCUGCUGCAAUGCAGGUGCUAUUAAUAAGAGGAAAGAACUGUGAAAGUAAACAAAGGAAAACGUCACGCAGAGCUGAGCAGCACGUUACUGUGGAUGCACCUACAGUUACCUCAACAACAACAACAGAGGGUUAUGUGUAAUUAAGUGCUGAACAUGUCUAAUCUUCGGUUUGUUAAUCACCUCUAUGACGCUUGCCCUCAUUUAGGUUUUUUUUUUUUGGUGGGUAAAAAAUUGCCCAACAAUAGCCAAAAGCAAUAUAACCGCUUUGGAUGGUUCUUUGGAGUUCUAGAUAUGAAUCUGCUUUCCCCUUUUUUUUAUUUGGGUAGUGGUACGUGGUGCUUUGUUCGUAUGCGUUUCUCUAGGAUCAUUAUAAAAAGUAUUCAAUGUGAACUAGUGGCUGGGACUCUCCUUUCGUCUUCCGUUAGCGGUCUGGUGUGGGCAUCCUCGAAGACUCAGCAGUUCCAAUCUUGGGCAAAAAAAAGCUAGUCAUUUAUUUGAUCCAAAGCAACACAGUACAUCCAUGCAACGUGGCUGAUCCGUCCCCUUUUUAUGUUUCUCUACAGCUGCAGAACCAUGGGUUGUAAUAAAUAUGCUUCCUUCUAAUAUCCUGUCAGCAGUUUUUUUUUUUUUUUGUCCUCUCCACAAAGUCUGCAGGAAAGAUAGGAAGUCCACCAAAGACGGAACUUUACCGUACAGAAAUACAGGAAAUACAGUAUGUGAUGCUUCAGUUCAUCGUGAGCUGUGAAACAAUGUAAUACUGACUCCUGUACACUGCUACACAAUAUACACACAUCAAGUUAGUGAGUAAUCCCAUCCUGUUAUGUGUUGUUGAAUCGUCUCAAUGGUCCAGUGUGUUACUGGCCUGGGCAGCUAUUUGUGCAACUGUGUGACGGAACCUUUGUUAAUAAUGCU